RNAcentral lists this ribosomal RNA (490 nucleotides) under Amphipholis squamata. RNAcentral describes it as "partial 16S ribosomal RNA". Lineage: Eukaryota; Metazoa; Echinodermata; Ophiuroidea; Amphilepidida; Amphiuridae. The record is from RNAcentral.
GAACAAACCAACCCUAGGAGGCUGCUGCACAUCCAGGUUUUUCUGAUCCAACAUCGAGGUCGCAAGCUCUCUUGUCAAUGUGUACUCUUAAAGAGAAUUACGCUGUUAUCCCUAAGGUAACUUUUUCUUUUGCUCAGAACUUUCUGGGUCCAUUAUACUAGACUCAAUUCAUUUAUAUUAAUCCCCUGUUGUAAAAAAGGGGAGGUUGCCCCAACCAAACCUUGUACUAUAUUGAACUAUAAUCUUAAGGUAAAGCUCUAUAGGGUCUUCUCGUCCCACUUAUUAAUUAAGGCCUCUUCACCUUAAAAUCAAUUUCGAGUCAAAUAAAGAGAGACAGUUUCUCUGUCGUCUAGCCGUUGAUACUAGCCUGCAAUUAACAGGCGAAUGAUUAUGCUACCUUUGCACAGUCAGUAAUACUGCAGCCGUUUAACUAUUGUCACCGGGCAGGCAGAACCUUAAAUCUAUUUCUAAAGGCGAUGUUUUUGUUAAA